GAUGAACGCUGGCGGCGUGCCUAAUACAUGCAAGUCGAGCGAACGGACGAGAAGCUUGCUUCUCAGGUGUUAGCGGCGGACGGGUGAGUAACACGUGGAUAACCUACCUAUAAGACUGGGAUAACUUCGGGAAACCGGAGCUAAUACCGGAUAAUAUUUUGAACCGCAUGGUUCAAAAGUGAAAGACGGUCUUGCUGUCACUUAUAGAUGGAUCCGCGCUGCAUUAGCUAGUUGGUAAGGUAACGGCUUACCAAGGCAACGAUGCAUAGCCGACCUGAGAGGGGGUCCGGCCACACUGAACCGGAGACACGGUCCGGACUCCUAGGGGAGCCAGCGGAAGGAAACUUUCGGCAAUGGCCGAAAGCUUGCCGGGGCACCGCGGGGUGGGUAAUGAAGGCCUCCGGUUCGAAAACCUUGUUUAUAGGGAAGAACAUAUGUGUAAGUAACUGUGCACAUCUUGACGGUACCUAAUCAGAAAGCCACGGCUAACUACGUG
This 496-nucleotide ribosomal RNA is filed under the name uncultured bacterium. RNAcentral describes it as "partial 16S ribosomal RNA". It matches the Rfam family "Bacterial small subunit ribosomal RNA", at positions 28 to 507 of the family's 1533-position model. The record is from RNAcentral.